This 497-nucleotide ribosomal RNA is filed under the name uncultured bacterium. Its description in RNAcentral is "bacterial SSU rRNA". It matches the Rfam family "Bacterial small subunit ribosomal RNA", at positions 266 to 780 of the family's 1533-position model. The record is from RNAcentral.
UACCAAGGCGACGAUCCAUAGCUGGUCUGAGAGGAUGAUCAGCCACAUUGGGACUGAGACACGGCCCAAACUCCUACGGGAGGCAGCAGUGGGGAAUAUUGGACAAUGGGCGCAAGCCUGAUCCAGCCAUGCCGCGUGAGUGAUGAAGGUCUUAGGAUUGUAAAGCUCUUUCACCGGGGACGAUAAUGACGGUACCCGGAGAAGAAGCCCCGGCUAACUUCGUGCCAGCAGCCGCGGUAAUACGAAGGGGGCUAGCGUUGUUCGGAAUUACUGGGCGUAAAGCGCACGUAGGCGGAUAUUUAAGUCAGGGGUGAAAUCCCGGGGCUCAACCCCGGAACUGCCUUUGAUACUGGGUAUCUUGAGUGUGGUAGAGGUGAGUGGAAUUGCGAGUGUAGAGGUGAAAUUCGUAGAUAUUCGCAGGAACACCAGUGGCGAAGGCGGCUCACUGGACCACAACUGACGCUGAGGUGCGAAAGCGUGGGGAGCAAACGGGAUUA